GUAGGUGAACCUGCGGAGGGAUCAUUAACGAGUUAGGGUCUCACCGGCCCGAUCUCCCAACCCUUUGUCUACUUGACCAUCGUUGCUUCGGCGAGUCCGUCCUCACGGACCGCCGGAGGGUCUUUAUCAGCCCUCUGGCCCGCGCUCGUCGAUAGCCCAACCUUAAAAAUCUUAACUAAACGUGUCUUGAAUCUAAGUAUUAUUGUUAAAUAAAAACAAAACUUUCAACAACGGAUCUCUUGGUUCUGGC
Molecule: unclassified non-coding RNA, 250 nt
Filed under: plant metagenome
Description: partial contains small subunit ribosomal RNA, internal transcribed spacer 1, and 5.8S ribosomal RNA
Source: RNAcentral